UGGGGAAUAUUGCGCAAUGGGCGAAAGCCUGACGCAGCAACGCCGCGUGAGUGAUGAAGGCCUUCGGGUCGUAAAGCUCUGUCGGAGGGAACGAAUGCUCCUGAAGUUAACAGCCUCAGGAGGUGACGGUACCCUCAAAGGAAGCACCGGCUAACUCUGUGCCAGCAGCCGCGGUAAGACAGAGGGUGCAAACGUUGUUCGGAAUUACUGGGCGUAAAGCGCGUGUAGGCGGCGUAGCAAGUCGGGCGUGAAAGCCCACGGCUCAACCGUGGAAGAGCACUCGAAACUGCUGCGCUAGAGUUCUGGAGAGGAAGGCGGAAUGCUUGGUGUAGAGGUGAAAUUCGUAGAUAUCAAGCGGAACACCGGUGGCGAAGGCGGCCUUCUGGACAGUGACUGACGCUGAAACGCGAAAGCGUGGGGAGCAAACAGGAUUAGAUACCCCAGUAGUCCCUGAGCGGGCUGGCAAGGCGCAU
RNAcentral lists this ribosomal RNA (473 nucleotides) under uncultured bacterium. RNAcentral describes it as "bacterial SSU rRNA". It matches the Rfam family "Bacterial small subunit ribosomal RNA", at positions 355 to 825 of the family's 1533-position model. The record is from RNAcentral.